UUUAUCCACCGGACCUAUAACCCAAG
RNAcentral lists this unclassified non-coding RNA (26 nucleotides) under Mus musculus (house mouse). Its description in RNAcentral is "oocyte_clustered_small_RNA10751". Lineage: Eukaryota; Metazoa; Chordata; Mammalia; Rodentia; Muridae. The record is from RNAcentral.